Long non-coding RNA from Vulpes vulpes (red fox), 619 nucleotides. NCBI's taxonomy places the organism in Eukaryota, Metazoa, Chordata, Mammalia, Carnivora, Canidae. The record is from Ensembl.
CUCCGGGCUGCUGCACGGAAGUCCCAAGGCCUCGGCAGUGGCAGCUUCCGCAGGUGACUGCGGGGGACGGGCCAGCGCUGCCCUGGGGGGAAGGGAGGCCCCACAGGGCACAGGGGGCUCAGCCCAGGAUGGGGGGGGGCUGCGGGCUCACACGGUUUCAGCCUCUGCAGAGACCCCGAGCGUGGCACCGGGACAGGCCGAGGGCGUCUACAGCAGCAUCGUGGUGAAGGAGGCGCCGGGGCCCCCUGCCUACCGGGCGCUCUACGACUAUGCGGCCCAGAAUUCCGACGAGUUGAACAUCUUCGCGGGGGACGUCCUGGAGGUCAUCCUGGAAGGGGAGGACGGCUGGUGGACAGUGGAGCGCCACGGGCAACGCGGCUUCGUCCCUGGCUCCUACCUGGAGAAGCUCUGAGGGGCAGAGCCCCCCGACCGCCCUGCUGUCCCCGCAGCCCCGCUGGGCCGGGAUGGGGUCCGAGGGGGGCCCGCCCCCCCAUGGUGUUGGCCGCUCCCUGCGCGGUGUCUGCACCGGGAAUAAAAGAGUGCGUUGCCCUCUUCCUGGUCUGCAGGGUCCCGUUCACUCUUCGGCUCUCACGUCCAAGUGUCUAGUCCAAGAUGGGGC